Molecule: long non-coding RNA, 987 nt
Filed under: Mus caroli (Ryukyu mouse)
Lineage: Eukaryota; Metazoa; Chordata; Mammalia; Rodentia; Muridae
Description: lncRNA (MGP_CAROLIEiJ_G0003734.1)
Source: RNAcentral
GACGCAGAAGCCAGGACGGGGAUGGUGAAUUCUCAUAGCGUGGAGCAGUGGACGGUGGGGGUAGCGGUGCCUGGGGUUGAGAAGACCAUGAAGAGACACGCAGAAGUGUCUCCAGCUUCCAGAACAUUCUAUAUCACUAGAGGUGCUCAAGCAACAUGUCCAUCGAAUCUGGACUUCAGCCACCCCAUGGUUCCCUUUACACCAUUCAUCUACCUAAAAGAUCCGUGUCUGUUCUUGGGAAUUUAACAUCAAAAACCACUUCUACUCCAGAGUUUAUGGUGGAGAGAGGGACCCCACAGGCAGCUCAUGGUUCCUACUCUGCUGGUUCUCCAGCAGCACCCGCGUGUCCUCCAGGUCCCAGGUGAGGUGGUGACACUUCCUCUUCAGCUGGUAAGCCAUCUUCUUGGCCUCUUCAUACGCAUUCUGCAGCUCCCCAAGCUAUGGAGAGAAGAGAGUGAGAGGUUCGCUGGUGCCCCCCCCCCCCCGUUUCCAACUCUGUCCGAGCCUUCAUCUCCGAGUCCAAUCUCUCCUCGCACUGUUGAAGGCGCUUGCGUAGGAAAUCGUUCUCCAUCUGAGCACAGUCCAAACGCAUCUGCCACUCGUCCGCUGUGUGACAGAGUCAGCAGCUGCCUCUAUUCAGCAGGAGAGAAUCCACAUAAUAGUGGGAACUGGACAAAGAUGCCCCCAUCCCAUCCAACCAUGAAUGCCAAGUCCCUAGGCAGUGGUAUAAGCAGUGCACUGAUGCUGCCUGCCUCUCACUGGGCAGCCACUCUGAGAGUCAGCCUCAACUUGAUCAUGUAUGUGAAAGCAUGCAGAGCCCAUAUUCCUCAUGGUGAAGAGGUAGCUGAUGGCUAUGGGUUAGUCUACUCCAUAUGGCCCAGCUCUGCGUGUUCAUCAUCUAGGACCAGCUACACUUGAAUGUGAGGAAUCUGGGGCUCAGGGCGACUUUGAAUAGCAUGGUAUGAUUCAAAUACAGAGGGGAAAUUA